This is a non-coding RNA of Aedes albopictus (Asian tiger mosquito), 58 nucleotides long. Lineage: Eukaryota; Metazoa; Arthropoda; Insecta; Diptera; Culicidae. The record is from Rfam.
UAGCCUAGUGGUUAAGGCUACGAAUCGCCAAUCCGGAGACGGCGGGUUCGAUUCCCGC